This 300-nucleotide long non-coding RNA is filed under the name Anser brachyrhynchus (Pink-footed goose). Its description in RNAcentral is "lncRNA (ENSABRG00000022070.1)". The record is from RNAcentral. Lineage: Eukaryota; Metazoa; Chordata; Aves; Anseriformes; Anatidae.
UAUAAUUUGGGACUUAAAGAUUUUGAGCAUUUCUUAAUCUGAUUUGCAGGUGAUGAUCUGCUGCCAGAAUAAAUAAAUCUUAGGAAGUGCCAAGACUGCUCAGCCAUUUGCUGCGAUACCACUCCCACAUAAGGAACCUGUAUCAUCACCUUUUUUCAAGCAGCUUCUCCACCGUGCCUGCUGCUCUAUGUUCUAGAUUCUGAAGCUGAUGGUACUUGGACAUGCUACAGGCACAAAGAAUCCAGCAGCUGUGAAAUUUAAAGUUAAGUAUCUUCAGGGGUUCUGAGACAACGCUUGAAG